This 277-nucleotide unclassified non-coding RNA is filed under the name Golubevia pallescens. Its description in RNAcentral is "partial internal transcribed spacer region". The stretch from base 1 to 46 matches the Rfam family "Eukaryotic small subunit ribosomal RNA", at positions 1786 to 1831 of the family's 1831-position model. The record is from RNAcentral. Lineage: Eukaryota; Fungi; Basidiomycota; Exobasidiomycetes; Golubeviales; Golubeviaceae.
AAGUCAUAACAAGGUUACUGUAGGUGAACCUGCAGUAGGAUCAUUAUUGAAAAAUAGGGCUUUCCCAUUCUUUGGGGCCCGAACCUUCACAUAAUUUCCACACACUUGUGAAUCGUUGGAGCGUUGAUCAGAAGAUUGUGCUUUUUGUAAGCCCUUUUGGAAGAGAGACGCUCUGGCACCGAAUCAUUACAAACACUGAGUUAAUGGAUGUAGUUGUAAACUUGUCUUUUGACAGAAACAAAAAUACAACUUUCGACAACGGAUCUCUUGGUUCUCC